CCUACGGGAGGCAGCAGUAGGGAAUAUUGCUCAAUGGGGGAAACCCUGAAGCAGCAACGCCGCGUGGAGGAUGAAGGUUUUCGGAUUGUAAACUCCUUUUGUUAGAGAAGAUAAUGACGGUAUCUAACGAAUAAGCACCGGCUAACUCCGUGCCAGCAGCCGCGGUAAUACGGAGGGUGCAAGCGUUACUCGGAAGCACUGGGCGUAAAGAGCGCGUAGGCGGGAUAGCAAGUCAGAUGUGAAAUCCUAGGGCUUAACCAUAGAACUGCAUUUGAAACUGUUAUUCUAGAGUAUGGGAGAGGUAGGUGGAAUUCUUGGUGUAGGGGUAAAAUCCGUAGAGAUCAAGAGGAAUACUCAUUGCGAAGGCGACCUGCUAGAACAUAACUGACGCUGAUGCGCGAAAGCGUGGGGAGCAAACAGGAUUAGAUACCCCGGUAGUC
This 440-nucleotide ribosomal RNA is filed under the name uncultured bacterium. Its description in RNAcentral is "partial 16S ribosomal RNA". It matches the Rfam family "Bacterial small subunit ribosomal RNA", at positions 338 to 795 of the family's 1533-position model. The record is from RNAcentral.